RNAcentral lists this ribosomal RNA (1392 nucleotides) under uncultured marine bacterium. RNAcentral's name for it is "16S ribosomal RNA". It matches the Rfam family "Bacterial small subunit ribosomal RNA". The record is from RNAcentral.
ACGCUGGCGGCACGCCUAACACAUGCAAGUCGAACGAAGUAGCAAUACUUAGUGGCAGACGGGUGAGUAACAUGUGGGUAUCUGCCCUUUGGCCUGGAAUAACACGAGGAAACUUGUGCUAAUACCGGAUAAGUCUUUACGGAGAAAGCUUUAUGCACCAUUGGAUGAGCCCGCACUUGAUUAGUUUGUUGGUGGGGUAAUGGCCUACCAAGACUGUGAUCAAUAGCUGAUUUGAGAGGAUGAUCAGCCACAUUGGGACUGAGACACGGCCCAAACUCCUACGGGAGGCAGCAGUGGGGAAUCUUGCACAAUGGAGGAAACUCUGAUGCAGCGAUGCCGCGUGAGUGAAGAAGGCCCUUGGGUUGUAAAGCUCUUUCGUCGGGGAAGAAAAUGACUGUACCCGAAUAAGAAGGUCCGGCUAACUUCGUGCCAGCAGCCGCGGUAAUACGAAGGGACCUAGCGUAGUUCGGAAUUACUGGGCUUAAAGAGUUCGUAGGUGGUUGAAAAAGUUAGUGGUGAAAUCCCAGAGCUUAACUCUGGAACUGCCAUUAAAACUUUUCAGCUAGAGUAUGAUAGAGGAAAGCAGAAUUUCUAGUGUAGAGGUGAAAUUCGUAGAUAUUAGAAAGAAUACCAAUUGCGAAGGCAGCUUUCUGGAUCAUUACUGACACUGAGGAACGAAAGCAUGGGUAGCGAAGAGGAUUAGAUACCCUCGUAGUCCAUGCCGUAAACGAUGUGUGUUAGACGUUGGAAAUUUAUUUUCAGUGUCGCAGCGAAAGCGAUAAACACACCGCCUGGGGAGUACGACCGCAAGGUUAAAACUCAAAUGAAUUGACGGGGACCCGCACAAGUAGUGGAGCAUGUGGUUUAAUUCGAAGAUACGCGCAGAACCUUACCAACACUUGACAUGUUCGUCGCGACUCUAAGAGAUUAGAGUUUUCGGUUCGGCCGGACGAAACACAGGUGCUGCAUGGCUGUCGUCAGCUCGUGUCGUGAGAUGUUGGGUUAAGUCCCGCAACGAGCGCAACUCUCACUUUUAGUUGCCAUCAUUAAGUUGGGCACUCUGAAAGAACUGCCAGUGAUAAGCUGGAGGAAGGUGGGGAUGACGUCAAGUCCUCAUGGCCCUUACGUGUUGGGCUACACACGUGCUACAAUGGUAUCUACAACAGGAAGCAAGACUGCGAGGUCAAGCAAAUCCUUAAAAGAUACCUCAGUUCGGAUUGCACUCUGCAACUCGAGUGCAUGAAGCUGGAAUUACUAGUAAUCGUGGAUCAGCGUGCCACGGUGAAUGCGUUCCCGGGUCUUGUACACACCGCCCGUCACACCAUGGGAGUUGGUUCUACCUUAAGGCAAGGUUUCAAACCCUUGACCACGGUAUAGUCAGCGACUGGGGUG